CUAGUAAUCGCGGAUCAGCAUGCCGCGGUGAAUACGUUCCCGGGCCUUGUGCACACCGCCCGUCACACCAUGGGAGUUUGUAACGCCCAAAGUCGGUGGCCUAACCUUUAUGGAGGGAGCCGCCUAAGGCGGGACAGAUGACUGGGGUGAAGUCGUAACAAGGUAAC
This 167-nucleotide ribosomal RNA is filed under the name uncultured bacterium. RNAcentral's name for it is "partial 16S ribosomal RNA". It matches the Rfam family "Bacterial small subunit ribosomal RNA", at positions 1335 to 1500 of the family's 1533-position model. The record is from RNAcentral.